This 74-nucleotide transfer RNA is filed under the name Candidatus Wolfebacteria bacterium CG03_land_8_20_14_0_80_36_15. RNAcentral's name for it is "tRNA-Met". It matches the Rfam family "tRNA". Rfam says of the family: Transfer RNA (tRNA) molecules are approximately 80 nucleotides in length. Their secondary structure includes four short double-helical elements and three loops (D, anti-codon, and T loops). Further hydrogen bonds mediate the characteristic L-shaped molecular structure. tRNAs have two regions of fundamental functional importance: the anti-codon, which is responsible for specific mRNA codon recognition, and the 3' end, to which the tRNAs corresponding amino acid is attached (by aminoacyl-tRNA synthetases). tRNAs cope with the degeneracy of the genetic code in two manners: having more than one tRNA (with a specific anti-codon) for a particular amino acid; and 'wobble' base-pairing, i.e. permitting non-standard base-pairing at the 3rd anti-codon position. Lineage: Bacteria; Candidatus Wolfeibacteriota. The record is from RNAcentral.
GCCGGUGUAGCUCAAUGGUAGAGCGGAGCCCUCAUAAAGCUUAGAAAGAGGUUCGAUUCCUCUCAUCGGCACUA